This 631-nucleotide ribosomal RNA is filed under the name Helostroma bacarum. RNAcentral's name for it is "eukaryotic LSU rRNA". It matches the Rfam family "Eukaryotic large subunit ribosomal RNA", at positions 47 to 663 of the family's 3401-position model. Lineage: Eukaryota; Fungi; Basidiomycota; Exobasidiomycetes; Microstromatales; Microstromataceae. The record is from RNAcentral.
UAAGCGGAGGAAAAGAAACUAACAAGGAUUCCCCUAGUAACGGCGAGUGAAGCGGGAAGAGCUCAAAUUUGAAAGCUGGCGCCUUCGGUCCGCGUUGUAAUCUCGAGAAGUGUUUUCCGUGCUGGACCAUGUACAAGUUCCUUGGAAUAGGACGUCAUAGAGGGUGAAAAUCCCGUCCUUGACAUGGACGCCCAGUGCUUUGUGAUACGCUCUCCACGAGUCGAGUUGUUUGGGAAUGCAGCUCAAAAUGGGUGGUAAAUUCCAUCUAAAGCUAAAUAUUGGGGAGAGACCGAUAGCGAACAAGUACCGUGAGGGAAAGAUGAAAAGCACUUUGGAAAGAGAGUUAAACAGUACGUGAAAUUGUCGAAAGGGAAGCGCUUGAAGUUAGACAUGCCUGCUGGAAUUCAGCCUUGCUUUUUGCUUGGUGUAUUUUCCGGUGAGCAGGCCAGCAUCAGUUUUGUCUGUCGGAUAAGGGUAGGAGGAACGUAGCCCCCCUCGGGGGUGUUAUAGCCUCUUACUGGAUACGGCGGAUGGGACUGAGGACCGCAGUGUGCCUUUAUGGCGGGCCUUCGGGCACCUUCACACUUAGGAUGCUGGCGUAAUGGCUUUAAGCGACCCGUCUUGAAACACG